RNAcentral lists this ribosomal RNA (274 nucleotides) under uncultured bacterium. Its description in RNAcentral is "partial 16S ribosomal RNA". It matches the Rfam family "Bacterial small subunit ribosomal RNA", at positions 523 to 796 of the family's 1533-position model. The record is from RNAcentral.
AGACGGAGGGGGCUAGCGUUGUUCGGAAUCACUGGGCGUAAAGCGCGCGUAGGCGGCCGCUCAAGUUGGGCGUGAAAGCCCGGGGCUCAACCCCGGAAUGGCGCACAAUACUGGGUGGCUCGAGGCCGGGAGAGGAGAGUGGAAUUCCCAGUGUAGAGGUGAAAUUCGUAGAUCUUGGGAAGAACACCGGUGGCGAAGGCGGCUCUCUGGUCCGGUUCUGACGCUGAGGUGCGAAAGCGUGGGGAGCAAACAGGAUUAGAUACCCCGGUAGUCC